AUUGAACGCUGGCGGCAGGCCUAACACAUGCAAGUCGAGCGGAGCGGCUGACGGACGAGUAAUGCCUAUGAAUCUGCCUGGUAGUGGGGGAUAACGUCCGGAAACGGGCGCUAAUACCGCAUACUAUCAGAUGAGCCUAGGUAGGAGUAGCUAGUUGGUGGGGCAAAUGCCGACCCAGGCGACGAUCCGUAACUGGUAGGAGAGGAUGAACAGUCACACUGGAACUGAGAAACGGGCCAGACGCUUACGUGAGGCAGCAGUGGGGAAUAUUGGACAAUGGGCGAAAGCCUGAUGCAGCCAUGCCGCGUGUGUGAAGAAGUUCUUCGGAUUGUAAAGCACUUUAAGUUGGGAGGCGUUACCAACAGAAUAAGCACCGGCUAACUUCGUGCCAGCCGACGCGGUAAUUC
Molecule: ribosomal RNA, 407 nt
Filed under: uncultured bacterium
Lineage: Bacteria
Description: partial 16S ribosomal RNA
Rfam family: Bacterial small subunit ribosomal RNA
Source: RNAcentral